GAUGAACGCUGGCGGCGUGCCUAAUACAUGCAAGUCGAGCGAACGGACGAGAAGCUUGCUUCUCUGAUGUUAGCGGCGGACGGGUGAGUAACACGUGGAUAACCUACCUAUAAGACUGGGAUAACUUCGGGAAACCGUAGCUAAUACCGGAUAAUAUUUUGAACCGCAUGGUUCAAAAGUGAAAGACGGUCUUGCUGUCACUUAUAGAUGGAUCCGCGCUGCAUUAGCUAGUUGGUAAGGUAACGGCUUACCAAGGCAACGAUGCAUAGCCGACCUGAGAGGGUGAUCGGCCACACUGGAACUGAGACACGGUCCAGACUCCUACGGGAGGCAGCAGUAGGGAAUCUUCCGCAAUGGGCGAAAGCCUGACGGAGCAACGCCGCGUGAGUGAUGAAGGUCUUCGGAUCGUAAAACUCUGUUAUUAGGGAAGAACAUAUGUGUAAGUAACUGUGCACAUCUUGAUGGUACCUAAUCAGAAAGCCACGGCUAACUACG
This 495-nucleotide ribosomal RNA is filed under the name uncultured bacterium. Its description in RNAcentral is "partial 16S ribosomal RNA". It matches the Rfam family "Bacterial small subunit ribosomal RNA", at positions 28 to 505 of the family's 1533-position model. The record is from RNAcentral.